GUAGGUGGCAAGCGUUGUCCGGAAUUAUUGGGCGUAAAGCGCGCGCAGGCGGUUCUUUAAGUCUGAUGUGAAAGCCCACGGGCUCAACCGUGGAGGGUCAUUGGAAACUGGAGAACUUGAGUACAGAAGAGGAAAGCGGAAUUCCACGUGUAGCGGUGAAAUGCGUAGAGAUGUGGAGGAACACCAGUGGCGAAGGCGGCUUUCUGGUCUGUAACUGACGCUGAGGCGCGAAAGCGGGGGAGCAAACAGGAUUAGAUACCCUGGUAGUCCACGCCGUAAACGAUGAGUGCUAAGUGUUAGGGGGUUUCCGCCCCUUAGUGCUGCAGCUAACGCAUUAAGCACUCCGCCUGGGGAGUACGGCCGCAAAGGCUG
Molecule: ribosomal RNA, 372 nt
Filed under: uncultured organism
Description: partial 16S ribosomal RNA
Rfam family: Bacterial small subunit ribosomal RNA
Source: RNAcentral